CGGACUUUCCAAGAUGGAUAUCCUUACAUUUCCUUCAUUGUUCAAGCUCUUCUGAUCUAGGUUUUCUGUCACUGGUUAACAGAUACCUUAAUAGGUGCAAAGGCUCAGCGCAAGGUCCUUUGUCCAGGAACAUUUCUUUAAAGGCCCUCCCCGGGCUCUCCUAACCCUACUGUCAGAGCACCUCUGCAGGUGCACCUGUCCAACCCAGCUUGUCCUGUCUGCAUUUGGGUGAUGAGCGCCUGCAUCUGAUCACUGUGCGAUCCAGCUCCAGCACACUCACUCCUCGUCUAGCUCUGUUCUUUGCUGCCGACACUCACAGCCGUCUGGCCAGCAGCACCAGGCUGGGCCCGCAUGGCCUGCUUGAGGGCCAGGCCAGAACUUCCACAGCUCCAUGGCCACGGCACCAGCCUGCAAGCGAAGGCGAAGCUGGGAGAGAUCCUGCUGACCUCCAGCCCCUGGCUCAUCCCGAAAGCCUCCAUUGCGGGCGCCCCCUCCUCUGAACUCCCAGCCAGCAACUCUCCCAGAAACAGGAUGGCUGACAGCAGAGUUCUACAUCCACAGGCCUCCUGUGCUCCUUGGAACCGCCAGGAGCAGUGGGCUGCCUGCAUCGCAUGGUGUGUUUGAGGAGGCGUGCCCAGAGCGGCAAGGGACUGACUCCAAGGACGCAGAGGGGGGGCCAGCCCUGAGCGGCUUGUGGUCUACGAUUCCACCACUGAAGAAUCAAUUGCAAUUACUGCUGCUGCCCGCCCCAGCACCCCUAGCCGCCCCCCCAGCAUCAGCACCCCCAGCACCCCUGCAACACCAGGACCACUCACACCCUUCCUACUAUUCAACCAAGAGCGGUGGCAAGGUCCGUGCCCCUGUAGGCACCUCAGGUGGGAGAACGCCUCUGACUCAGUAGAUGGAGGCCAUCGUGUAUCACGGCUCAGAGAUGCUGGCCUGGGGACCUCUGGGGACCUCUGGGGACAAGGAGGAGGAAUCUGACCUCUGCAAAACCAAAGCUGGCUUUGGUGCUCACCUCCCUCACCAGGAAGGCCUCCAAGGUCUGCAUUCCUGACCCAGCAGGUGCGGGGAACAACUGGACAGAUGUUCGCCCCUCAAGCCCGUCUGACACGGAGGAGGGAUGGAGGCCAGGAAGAGGACAUGCUACGCUGGGCCCCCAGCUUGUCAGCCGCACGAAAGCCCAGGGAGCUUCUCCCUAGGCCUGCACGUUAGAGAGGACUUCCUCUUCCACCCCUUGUAGCCUGAGCAGCCGCUGCCCAAAGGCAAAGUGGCUUGGUCAAGGUCUUGGACAAAUCCACCCCAGGGCUGGGAGGAGGACCCCAGCGGACUCCAGGUGUGCCUCAACUCAGCCUGGCUCCCACACCCCAGUGCCAUCCUGGCCAGCCGCCCACCCCAGGCUUCUCACCCAUAUGCCCACGGCCACGUUCAGGGCGAAAUACAAGGUGAUGAUAAUGAUGUCGGUCACGCUCAGCUGCGGCCCGGGAGCGUGGGGGUCGCCGGUGGAGUUGUCCGCCACCAUCCUGUGGCAAGCACCGGCUCUGAGCAGGAGGAACUGAGGGCCGAGCCAGGACCACACUCGGAUCAAACUCUGAUGGCCCAGCGCACCCAGGACAGGAAUGACAGGACCUGCCCAGCCAGGAAGCCAGCCAAAUCACACCUCACAAGCUGCAUCUAUCCCAAGAGGGAGCCCCCCAUGUCAUGUUUCCCAACACCACUGCUGAUGCCAAAUGUGUGGGGUUUCUCCCACACACACCAAUGAACUCUCCAUCUCUCUAGAGGCCAACUGGGUGUCCUCCCAUCUGACUCAAUUCUGUCACUAACGACCUGAGUUAGCACAGAUCCCAUAGUUUAAACACUUAGUCUGACCAAACUGCCCCCCUUUACACAGCAGGUGCAAUCUUAGGCCUCCUUGUACUUUGGACUGACCAUCUAGAGGUGCUGGAAGUUUCCAUGAUCCCCUUCUCAGAUUCAUAAUUUGCCAGAUGGCUCCCAGAGCUCAGGGAAACUGAUCAGUAACAGUAUAUGAUACAGAUUGUUGUACAGGAUACAGAUGAACAGCCAGAGGAUCAAAAAAGAAAUAAAAAAAGUAAAACAAAAACUUAGUUUUUAAUUGAUCUGAUAACAAUGUGUUCAAAAUAGUAAUAGCAACAACGUAUUUGGUAUGUGUGUGCUUGUGUAUAAAUGAAAUGAAUAAUAGCAAUGAUAUAAGGACAGGAAAGAAGUGUGAUUAUUUUUUUAAAAGGUAAUCACACUAUUUGUGACAGUGCACUUUUAUUUGAAAGUGGACUUGGAUCAGUGAUAAAGUCUUUCAUCUCCUCGGUUAAUUCCUAAGUAUUUUAUUCUUUUUGAUGCUAUUGUAAAUGGGAUCAUUUUUUCCAUUUCCCCUUCAGGUUGUCCAUUGUUAGUGCUUAGAAAUGCAAUUGAUGAUUCCAUGUUGACUUUGUAUCCUACUGUUUUCCUAAAUUCAUUUCUUAGUUCUAACAGAUGGUGUGUGUGUUUGUGUAUGUGUGUGUGUGUGUAAUCUUCAGGGGUUUUCUAAGAUCACAUCAGCUGUAAACAGAUAAUUUUAUUUCUUCCUUUCCAGUUUCAAUGUCAUUCAUUCAUUCAUUCAUUCAUUCAUUCAUUCAUUCAUUUUCUUGCUUUGGUUAGACUUUCCAGCACUACAUUGAACAGAAGUCAUGAAGGAAGGCAUCCUUGCCUUGGCAUUAAUCUCAGAAAAAAAGCUUUCUCUCUUUCACCGUUGAGUAUGAUGGUCACUGUGGAUUUUUCAUCCAUGGCUUUCAAUUAUGUUAUGGUAGUUUCCUUCUAGUAUUCCUAAUUUUAUGAGUGUUUUUAUCAUAAAAAGUUACAAUUUCUUGAAACACAUUUUCUGCAAUGAGACGAUCAUGUAGUUAUUCCUCUUCAUUCUGUUAAUAUGGUGUAUUACACUGACCAGUUUUCAUACGUCUAAUCGUCUUGCAUUCCAGAAAUAAAUCUGACUUGGUUAAAGCCUAUAAUCUUUUUAAUAUAUUCCUGAAAAUGGUUUUCUAGUAUUUUGUUGAUGUUUUAUUAUCAAUAUUCAUAAGGGAUAUUGAUUUAUAGGUUUUUUUUUAAAAGAUUUUAUUUAUUUGACAGACAGAGAUCACAAGUAAGCAGAGAGGCAGGCAGAGAGAGAGGGGGAAGCAGGCUCCCCGCUGAGCAGAGAGCCCGAUGCGGGGUUUGAUCCCAGGACCCUGAGAUCAUGACCUGAGCCGAAGGCAGAGGCUUUAACCCACUGAGCCGCCCAGGCAUCCCGAUUUAUAGUUUUCUUAUAGUGUCUUUGGCUUUGUUAUCAGGGUAAGUCCACCUCAUAGAAUGAGUUAGAAAUUAUUCUUUCCUCUUACGUUUUUUGGGGAAAGUUGGAAAAAUACUGGUGUUACCGUUUUUUAUUAUUUUUUGAGUAAUCUCUGCACCCAACAUGGGGCUCGAACUUAAAACUCCAAGAUCAAGAGUUGCAUGCUCCGCUGACUGAGCCAGCCAGAUGCCUUACUUCUUUGAAUGUUGCGGAGAAUUCACCAGUGAAACCAUCAGAUCCUGGACUCUUCUCUGUUGGAAGUUGUUUUUUUGUUUGUUUUGUUUUUGUUUUUUUCAAUAACUGAUAUAAUUCUAUUAGUUAUAGGUCUAUUCUGAUUUUGUAUUUCUUUGUGAUUUAGUCUUAGUAGGUUUUGUGUUUCUAGGAAUUUGUCAAUUUCAUCUAAAUCAUCCAAUUUGAUUGUGUACAAUUCCUCAUAGUACACUCAUAAUCCUUCCUGUUUACUUCAAAUCAGUAAUAAUGUCCCCACUUUCUUUUCUGUUUUUAAUAAUUUGAGGCUUCUCUCUUUUUUCUUAGUCUAUUAAAGGUUUGUCAAUUUUGAUCUUUUCAAAGAGCCAGCUUUUGUUUUGCUGACUUUUCCCUAUAAUUUUUUAUUUUCUGUUUUGCCGAUCUCUCCUCUAAUCUUUAUUAUUUCUAUCCUUCUGCUAGCUUUGGGUUUAGUUUGUCCUUUUUCUGGUACCUGAAGUUGUAAAGUGAGAUUGUUGAUUUGAGAUCUUUCCCCCUUCCUCCUUCUUUCCCUCCCUCCCUUCCUUUCCAUGUAAGAGUUGAUAGCUAUAAAUUUCUCCAUUAACACUGAUUUUACUGUAUCCCUAACAUUUGGUAUGUUAUGUUUUCAUUUCUAUUCAGCUUUAAGUAUUUUCUAACUCCCCUUGUGAUUUCUUCUUUGAUUAAUUGGCUGUUUAAGAAUGUGUUGGCUUAAUAUCCACAAGUGGAGAAUGGAAAUAUCUAAUUAUUACUGUAAAACUAUUUCUUUUAAUUGUGUACAUUUUUGCUUCAUUUAUUUUGAUAGUCUGUUAUUAGGCAUGUAAAUAUUUCUCAUUAUUAUGUCUUCGUGCUGUACUGAACCUGGAACAAAUAUAUACUGUCCUUCAUUGUCUUUUGUA
This is an RNA transcript of Mustela lutreola (European mink), 4437 nucleotides long. RefSeq lists it as uncharacterized. NCBI's taxonomy places the organism in Eukaryota, Metazoa, Chordata, Mammalia, Carnivora, Mustelidae. The record is from RefSeq and is a predicted model, not a curated record. The transcript is spliced from 5 exons.